RNAcentral lists this transfer RNA (42 nucleotides) under Saccharolobus shibatae. Its description in RNAcentral is "tRNA-His". Lineage: Archaea; Thermoproteati; Thermoproteota; Thermoprotei; Sulfolobales; Sulfolobaceae. The record is from RNAcentral.
CUGUGGACCCGGAAGUCCCGGGUUCAAAUCCCGGCCCGAGCC